Molecule: ribosomal RNA, 468 nt
Filed under: uncultured bacterium
Lineage: Bacteria
Description: partial 16S ribosomal RNA
Rfam family: Bacterial small subunit ribosomal RNA
Source: RNAcentral
GAUGAACGCUGGCGGCGUGCUUAACACAUGCAAGUCGAACGGAAAGGCCCUGCUUUUGUGGGGUGCUCGAGUGGGGAACGGGUGAGUAACACGUGAGUAACCUGCCCUUGACUGUGGGAUAACUUCAGGAAACUGGGGCUAAUACAGGCUAGGAGCUCCUGCUGCAUGGUGGUGGUCGGAAAGCUUCGGCGGAUGGGGAUGGAUUCGCGGCUUAUCAGCUUGUUGGUGGGGUAGUUGCUUACCAAGGCUUUGACGGAUAGCCGGCAUGGGAGGGUGGACAGCCACAUGGGUACUGCGAGACGGCGCAGACGGCAACGGGAGGCAACAGUCGGGAGUCUUGCACAAUGAUGGGAAGCCUGUUGCGGCAACGCUGCGAGCGGAAUGACGGCCUUCGGGUGGUAAACCGCUUUCGCCUGUUACGAAGCGUGAGUGACGGUAAUGGGUAAAGAAGCACCGGCUAACUACGUG